Non-coding RNA from Schistosoma margrebowiei, 78 nucleotides. The record is from Rfam. Lineage: Eukaryota; Metazoa; Platyhelminthes; Trematoda; Strigeidida; Schistosomatidae.
AGCUUUUCGAAUCCGUGCUGAGAUUUCUUCAGACACCAACCCAUUAGGGCUGAUCAAAUUUCCAAGAUAGGUGAAGUU